CUACGGGGGGCUGCAGUGGGGAAUAUUGGACAAUGGGAGAAAUCCUGAUCCAGCAAUUCUGUGUGCAUGAUGACGGUCUUCGGAUUGUAAAGUGCUUUCGACAGGGAAGAAUAAAUUGACGGUACCUGUAUAAGAAGCGACGGCUAAAUACGUGCCAGCAGCCGCGGUAAUACGUAUGUCGCAAGCGUUAUCCGGAAUCACUGGGCAUAAAGGGCGUCUAGGCGGUUUGAAAAGUCAGUGGUGAAAGGUAUGGGCUCAACCCGUGCAUUGCCAUUGAAACUCUUAAACUAGAGUAUGGGAGAGGAGGGCGGAACUACAAGAGUAGCGGUGAAAUGCGUAGAUAUUUGUAGGAAUGCCAAUGACGAAGGUAGCUCUCUGGACCAAUACUGACGCUAAAGCGCGAAAGCUAGGGUAGCAAACAGGAUUAGAUACCCGCGUAGUC
This 442-nucleotide ribosomal RNA is filed under the name uncultured bacterium. Its description in RNAcentral is "partial 16S ribosomal RNA". It matches the Rfam family "Bacterial small subunit ribosomal RNA", at positions 339 to 795 of the family's 1533-position model. The record is from RNAcentral.